CGGUCCGUAACGGGACCUUUCCUUCGGGACAGAGGAGACAGGUGGUGCAUGGUUGUCGUCAGCUCGUGUCGUGAGAUGUUGGGUUAAGUCCCGCAACGAGCGCAACCCCUAUCCUUAGUAGCCAGCAGUUCGGCUGGGCACUCUAGGGAGACUGCCAGGGAUAACCUGGAGGAAGGCGGGGAUGACGUCAAAUCAUCAUGCCCCUUAUGAUCUGGGCUACACACGUGCUACAAUGGUGGCUACAAAGGGAAGCGACCCUGUGAAGGUAAGCAAAUCCCAAAAAGGCCAUCCCAGUUCGGAUUGUAGUCUGCAACUCGACUACAUGAAGCUGGAAUCGCUAGUAAUCGCGAAUCAGAAUGUCGCGGUGAAUACGUUCCCGGGUCUUGUACACACCGCCCGUCACACCAUGGGAGUUGGAUAUGCCCGAAGUCUGUGACCCAACCCAUCUUAGUGAGCAUGACGUCGUGAUGAUUGAAUGAACGAAGUGAAUUCAAUCAUAUCCGUAUAAAAAAUACGGUCACGGAGGAGCGCAGAAAAACCUGCGUGAGUACGUGAGCAAUCACGAAGUCAGUCGUGCUUAGUAAGAUGGGAGGGAGCAGCCGAAGGUGGAGCCAAUGACUGGGGUGAAGUCGUAACAAGGUAGCCGUAUCGGAAGGUGCGGCUGGAUCACCUCCUUU
RNAcentral lists this ribosomal RNA (677 nucleotides) under Mobilitalea sibirica. RNAcentral describes it as "Bacterial small subunit ribosomal RNA". It matches the Rfam family "Bacterial small subunit ribosomal RNA", at positions 996 to 1533 of the family's 1533-position model. The record is from Rfam by way of RNAcentral. Lineage: Bacteria; Bacillati; Bacillota; Clostridia; Lachnospirales; Lachnospiraceae.